UGAGGAAUAUUGGACAAUGGAGGCAACUCUGAUCCAGCCAUGCCGCGUGCAGGAUGACGGCCCUAUGGGUUGUAAACUGCUUUUAUGUAGGAAGAAACACUCUCACGUGUGAGAGCUUGACGGUACUACAAGAAUAAGGACCGGCUAACUCC
RNAcentral lists this ribosomal RNA (152 nucleotides) under uncultured Bacteroidota bacterium. Its description in RNAcentral is "uncultured Bacteroidetes bacterium partial 16S ribosomal RNA". It matches the Rfam family "Bacterial small subunit ribosomal RNA", at positions 355 to 504 of the family's 1533-position model. Lineage: Bacteria; Pseudomonadati; Bacteroidota. The record is from RNAcentral.